GGCCCCAUGGUCAAGCGGUUAAGACAUCGCCCUUUCACGGCGGUAACAGGGGUUCAAAUCCCCUUGGGGUCAUCA
Molecule: transfer RNA, 75 nt
Filed under: Lachnospiraceae bacterium KM106-2
Lineage: Bacteria; Bacillati; Bacillota; Clostridia; Lachnospirales; Lachnospiraceae
Description: tRNA-Glu
Rfam family: tRNA
About the family: Transfer RNA (tRNA) molecules are approximately 80 nucleotides in length.
Source: RNAcentral